RNAcentral lists this ribosomal RNA (604 nucleotides) under Hypocreales sp. JCM 28484. Its description in RNAcentral is "eukaryotic LSU rRNA". It matches the Rfam family "Eukaryotic large subunit ribosomal RNA", at positions 38 to 667 of the family's 3401-position model. RNAcentral also lists the same sequence under 1 other name. The record is from RNAcentral. Lineage: Eukaryota; Fungi; Ascomycota; Sordariomycetes; Hypocreales.
GCAUAUCAAUAAGCGGAGGAAAAGAAACCAACAGGGAUUGCCUCAGUAACGGCGAGUGAAGCGGCAACAGCUCAAAUUUGAAAUCUGGCCCUUGGGUCCGAGUUGUAAUUUGCAGAGGAUGCUUUUGGCGAGGUGCCUUCCGAGUUCCCUGGAACGGGACGCCAUAGAGGGUGAGAGCCCCGUCCGGUCGUGCCACCGAGCCUCUGUAAAGCUCCUUCGACGAGUCGAGUAGUUUGGGAAUGCUGCUCUAAAUGGGAGGUACAUGUCUUCUAAAGCUAAAUACCGGCCAGAGACCGAUAGCGCACAAGUAGAGUGAUCGAAAGAUGAAAAGCACUUUGAAAAGAGGGUUAAAAAGUACGUGAAAUUGUUGAAAGGGAAGCGUUUGCGACCAGACUUGGGCCCGGUGAAUCAUCCAGCGUUCUCGCUGGUGCACUUUGCCGGCCCAGGCCAGCAUCAGUUCGCCGCGGGGGAUAAAGGCUUCGGGAACGUGGCUCCUCCGGGAGUGUUAUAGCCCGCUGCGUAAUACCCUGUGGCGGACUGAGGUUCGCGCUCCGCAUGGAUGCUGGCGUAAUGGUCGUCAACGACCCGUCUUGAAACACGGACC